Molecule: ribosomal RNA, 414 nt
Filed under: uncultured Gammaproteobacteria bacterium
Lineage: Bacteria; Pseudomonadati; Pseudomonadota; Gammaproteobacteria
Description: bacterial SSU rRNA
Rfam family: Bacterial small subunit ribosomal RNA
Source: RNAcentral
UUUAAUUCGAUGCAACGCGAAGAACCUUACCUACUCUUGACAUCCAUGGAAUCUUGUAGAGAUAUGAGAGUGCCUUCGGGAACCAUGAGACAGGUGCUGCAUGGCUGUCGUCAGCUCGUGUUGUGAAAUGUUGGGUUAAGUCCCGCAACGAGCGCAACCCUUAUCCUUUGUUGCCAGCGAUUAGGUCGGGAACUCAAAGGAGACUGCCGGUGAUAAACCGGAGGAAGGUGGGGAUGACGUCAAGUCAUCAUGGCCCUUACGGCCAGGGCUACACACGUGCUACAAUGGCGCAUACAAAGAGAAGCGACCUCGCGAGAGCAAGCGGACCUCAUAAAGUGCGUCGUAGUCCGGAUCGGAGUCUGCAACUCGACUCCGUGAGGUCGGAAUCGCUAGUAAUCGUGGAUCAGAACGCCA